RNAcentral lists this unclassified non-coding RNA (345 nucleotides) under soil metagenome. RNAcentral describes it as "partial contains 5.8S ribosomal RNA, internal transcribed spacer 2, and large subunit ribosomal RNA". The stretch from base 1 to 120 matches the Rfam family "5.8S ribosomal RNA", at positions 35 to 154 of the family's 154-position model. The record is from RNAcentral.
GAUGAAGAACGUAGCGAAAUGCGAUACGUAAUGUGAAUUGCAGAAUUCAGUGAAUCAUCGAGUCUUUGAACGCACAUUGCGCCCCCUGGUAUUCCGGGGGGCAUGCCUGUCCGAGCGUCAUUGCUGCCCUCAAGCACGGCUUGUGUGUUGGGCCUCCGUCCUCCUCCCGGGGGACGGGCCCGAAAGGCACCGGCGGCACCGCGUCCGGUCCUCGAGCGUAUGGGGCUUCGUCACCCGCUCUUGUAGGCCCGGCCGGCGCUUGCCGACACAUCAAUCUUUUUUCCAGGUUGACCUCGGAUCAGGUAGGGAUACCCGCUGAACUUAAGCAUAUCAAUAAGCGGAGGA